RNAcentral lists this transfer RNA (62 nucleotides) under Tryella crassa. RNAcentral describes it as "tRNA-Pro". Lineage: Eukaryota; Metazoa; Arthropoda; Insecta; Hemiptera; Cicadidae. The record is from RNAcentral.
CAGAAGAUAAUUUAUUAAAAUAUAAACUUUGGGUGUUUAAAAUGAUUUAAGGUCUCUUCUGA